Molecule: long non-coding RNA, 1131 nt
Organism: Setaria italica (foxtail millet)
Lineage: Eukaryota; Viridiplantae; Streptophyta; Magnoliopsida; Poales; Poaceae
Exons: 3
Source: RefSeq, a predicted model, not a curated record
UUCUGAAAUAAGUACGAAACAAGCGUUAGAAAUCUUCGAUUGCAGAAACUACAGCAAUAGCUAGCAUACAACUAUCAGUCUGACAAGUAUUCCAGUUGAAGCAAGUGAUGGAAGAAAGAAAACUUUAGUACAAUGGGUGGUUGUAUGAAUAGGAUGUUGGUUGGAAAAUUUUCCUGGUGAUGCCCACAAGUUUUCCCUUGGUCCCGAGGAAUCAAAUCUUGUUUGGAGCAUGUCAGGUACUGAAAAGGUAGACAAGGGAGGUGUUGACAACAACAUAAAGUAAAAGUGUGUUUUAUUUUCGUGGAUCAUUGGAUACACAUGUACAGUAGAUAGGAAAUGUCAGGCUUCAACUUCUGUUCUAGAUUAGACAUCUGUACAGCUGGAAGGCAUGUACUGAAGUAUUCUGCUUCAAGCCUCUGAAAAGGAGACGCAGCGCUAACAUGGAAAGGAGAUCUGGAGACAUAAAUGAAGCAGGCGCAAUCCUAACGUCCGGAAAGUGGCAACUGAAUUUGUUGAGUUCCAUCAAGAGAUUAGGAGGGACCAUUGGUGCAGCUCCUUUGCUGAAGAAAGGUAUCAUCCAAUCAGUGAGCAGAUUUGGACUGGCUGGAGAGAAGACAGUGCUGAUCAAGAAAUUUGGACUUGGCUUCCCCAUUUGCCUUGCGAUUUUCUUUCAGGUUGGACUUUUAUGAGAGUAUAUGCUCUGAAUUUGGGGGGGGAAAAUCAAGGACAACAACCAUGUACAGAAGAAAGCAGAUAGUCGUCGUAGCGGGUAAGAUGCCAAAUUCUCAGCGCAUAAAGUGAUUCCUAAACGCUUUUGAUGGUACAUCCCUGAACCUGGGAUCUUCUUGCACCCGUUUUCAUGCAUCACAUCAAAGAAAGGGGAAUCAAAAGUUUUGUUUUGGAUCCAGAAUCAUCACCAAGCCGUGAACAGAAUUAGCAAGGAUAUCCUUCUUGAAAUAAACCAGCAAGGAUGUCAACAAAGUGGAUUCUGAGAAAGAAAGGGGAGCGUAGGAAGCAAUCUGAUUUCCCAAUUCCCCCUCCAUCACCAGACAGAAAAACUUGGAGGAGCGUACAAGGAAGACACGCAAGAAGCUCUGCAAAUUCAGAGGUAAACAUCACAAGAGGAUAGGA